RNAcentral lists this ribosomal RNA (161 nucleotides) under Cornus controversa. RNAcentral describes it as "5.8S ribosomal RNA". It matches the Rfam family "5.8S ribosomal RNA". From Rfam's summary of the family: 5.8S ribosomal RNA (5.8S rRNA) is a component of the large subunit of the eukaryotic ribosome. The record is from RNAcentral. Lineage: Eukaryota; Viridiplantae; Streptophyta; Magnoliopsida; Cornales; Cornaceae.
ACGACUCUCGACAACGGAUAUCUCGGCUCUCGCAUCGAUGAAGAACGUAGUGAAAUGCGAUACUUGGUGUGAAUUGCAGAAUCCCGUGAACCAUCGAGUCUUUGAACGCAAGUUGCGCCCGAAGCCGUCAGGCCGAGGGCACGUCUGCCUGGGCGUCUCAC